RNAcentral lists this ribosomal RNA (757 nucleotides) under Streptomyces sp. Its description in RNAcentral is "bacterial SSU rRNA". It matches the Rfam family "Bacterial small subunit ribosomal RNA", at positions 89 to 858 of the family's 1533-position model. The record is from RNAcentral. Lineage: Bacteria; Bacillati; Actinomycetota; Actinomycetes; Kitasatosporales; Streptomycetaceae.
GGAUCAGUGGCGAACGGGUGAGUAACACGUGGGCAAUCUGCCCUGCACUCUGGGACAAGCCCUGGAAACGGGGUCUAAUACCGGAUAUGACCUUCCUCCGCAUGGGGGUGGGUGUAAAGCUCCGGCGGUGCAGGAUGAGCCCGCGGCCUAUCAGCUUGUUGGUGGGGUAAUGGCCCACCAAGGCGACGACGGGUAGCCGGCCUGAGAGGGCGACCGGCCACACUGGGACUGAGACACGGCCCAGACUCCUACGGGAGGCAGCAGUGGGGAAUAUUGCACAAUGGGCGAAAGCCUGAUGCAGCGACGCCGCGUGAGGGAUGACGGCCUUCGGGUUGUAAACCUCUUUCAGCAGGGAAGAAGCGCAAGUGACGGUACCUGCAGAAGAAGCACCGGCUAACUACGUGCCAGCAGCCGCGGUAAUACGUAGGGUGCGAGCGUUGUCCGGAAUUAUUGGGCGUAAAGAGCUCGUAGGCGGCUUGUCACGUCGGAUGUGAAAGCCCGGGGCUUAACCCCGGGUCUGCAUUCGAUACGGGCAGGCUAGAGUGUGGUAGGGGAGAUCGGAAUUCCUGGUGUAGCGGUGAAAUGCGCAGAUAUCAGGAGGAACACCGGUGGCGAAGGCGGAUCUCUGGGCCAUUACUGACGCUGAGGAGCGAAAGCGUGGGGAGCGAACAGGAUUAGAUACCCUGGUAGUCCACGCCGUAAACGUUGGGAACUAGGUGUUGGCGACAUUCCACGUCGUCGGUGCCGCAGCUAACGC